Molecule: non-coding RNA, 135 nt
Organism: Triticum aestivum (bread wheat)
Lineage: Eukaryota; Viridiplantae; Streptophyta; Magnoliopsida; Poales; Poaceae
Source: Rfam
CAAAUACUCCCUUUGUCCCAAAAAUUUUGCCUCAGAUUUGUCUAAAUACGGAUGUAUCAAAUCACAUUUUAGUAUUAGGUACAUCCGUAUCUAGAUAAAUCUAAAACAAGAAUUUUAGGACGGAGGGAGUAUAAA